CGAACGGGUGAGUAACACGUGGGUAACCUGCCCCGAUGAUUGGGACAACCCGAGGAAACUCGGGCUAAUACCGAAUGUGCCCUCCGGCCACAAGGCCGCUGGGGAAAGGAAGCUUCGGCCUCCGCAUCGGGAUGGGCCCGCGGCCCAUUAGCUUGUUGGUGAGGUAACGGCUCACCAAGGCCGCGAUGGGUAGCUGGUCUGAGAGGAUGGCCAGCCACAUUGGGACUGAGACACGGCCCAA
RNAcentral lists this ribosomal RNA (241 nucleotides) under uncultured bacterium. RNAcentral's name for it is "partial 16S ribosomal RNA". It matches the Rfam family "Bacterial small subunit ribosomal RNA", at positions 99 to 334 of the family's 1533-position model. The record is from RNAcentral.